This 658-nucleotide ribosomal RNA is filed under the name Staphylococcus sp. Its description in RNAcentral is "bacterial SSU rRNA". It matches the Rfam family "Bacterial small subunit ribosomal RNA", at positions 502 to 1154 of the family's 1533-position model. Lineage: Bacteria; Bacillati; Bacillota; Bacilli; Caryophanales; Staphylococcaceae. The record is from RNAcentral.
UACGUGCCAGCAGCCGCGGUAAUACGUAGGUGGCAAGCGUUAUCCGGAAUUAUUGGGCGUAAAGCGCGCGUAGGCGGUUUCUUAAGUCUGAUGUGAAAGCCCACGGCUCAACCGUGGAGGGUCAUUGGAAACUGGGAAACUUGAGUGCAGAAGAGGAAAGUGGAAUUCCAUGUGUAGCGGUGAAAUGCGCAGAGAUAUGGAGGAACACCAGUGGCGAAGGCGACUUUCUGGUCUGUAACUGACGCUGAUGUGCGAAAGCGUGGGGAUCAAACAGGAUUAGAUACCCUGGUAGUCCACGCCGUAAACGAUGAGUGCUAAUGGUUAAGGGGGUUUCCGCCCCUUAGUGCUGCAGCUAACGCAUUAAGCACUCCGCCCGGGGGAGUACGACCGCAAGGUUGAAACUCAAAGGAAUUGACGGGGACCCGCACAAGCGGUGGAACAAGGUGGUUUAAUUCGAAGCAACGCGAAGAACCUUACCAAAUCUUGACAUCCUUUGACACUCUAGAGAUAGAGCUUCCCCUUCGGGGGACAAAUGACAGGUGGUGGCAAGGGUUGUCGUCACCUCGUGUCGUGAGAAGUUUGGGGUUAAGUCCCGCAACGAACGCAACCCUUAAGCUUAGUUGCCACCAUUAAGUUGGGCACUCUAAGUUGACUGCCG